GGGAGGGGAGACAUGUUUACAUGUUCUCACCUCCCCCACUAUUUUUCAGGUAUCGCGGGCGGUGAGGGUUUGAGACGAGACGUGAGACACGUACGUAGCGGUCGAUAGAUCUUUCGACCCAGGUUGUUCGGUUUAGCUCUUACCCUUUUUAUUUCUGUUGAUAUAUAGCUUAGAUAGUUUAUAUGGUUCAGUAUUUUUAUUACAUUUGAAUAUGUGGAUUUUCAUGAAUGUAAUAAAAGGAUUUCUGGAAUUUGUAAAAUAAAAGGUUUUCUACCCCUCGUGGUAGCGUUUUUAAAGAAUAAAGGUUUCCGUGUAGGAAACAGUUUUCAAAAGGAUUUUUCGUGGAUUUCUGUUUAAACAUUGAAUGUAAAACUGUGAUGUGAAUGGUGAAUGUAUGAAUGUAUAGUUAUCUUUAUAUUCAUCUAGUUGUGGUUGUAUCCUGGUUGUAUUCUUGUACUUGUGCGACGCCGUGCAAAUACAGGGGAGACUCUGUCCGUGUGAACAGUGGAUUCCCUGUAUUUGUGGCGGAUCUGGCAUACUCUGGGGUCAGGUUUUCAAAAAAAAAAAUUUAGACGCUUUUCCGCUAUCUCUUAAACUGAAAGGGACCCCAGGGCGUGACAGAUUAAAGUGGUAUCAGAGAGAUGUUACAACCACAACACCAUUCACAGGUUGUUUUGAAAAGUAAAUGAACUGAACCAAAUAAACUGAACCAUUGGUUAGGUUGACCAAUAGGAAGACUACGGUGUAUAGGUAAGUGAGUGCGGGGUUUGGGCUUGUGUCCCGGUGUGCAUUCGAGUUUGUUAAACUCGAAGUGCAUGGUUUCUGUAAGUGUUACGGUUCGCACAAGCUGGUGUCUAAGUCGGGAGUAGUGGCGGUGUACUUAUUCGGACAUCGAGUGGUGGGGCGACGUUCCUCAGGUGUUACCACUCCUGUCAGGUGGGGCCUUGAAGGGCCAAGUGAGACUUUCGGGCCUAAGCGAGUGUCAUAACUGCCGACGCUGGGCCACUCUCUCUACUUAGGACACGAGAGCUACGGCGAAUGUCUCUACGGAGAUGGUGCUUAGACCAGUUACGGUCGCGACUUCAGUAGGGCUACUAGGGUGUAGCCCAGGGUUUGGAUAGCGGUCGUUUCGGCGACUGCAUUAUUAGUGUUGCUUCCUCAGACCUUUGGGUAGGGUUGCGACGCCUACCUCUCCUCCUUGAUUGCUGAUUGAAAUCAGCGGUUGAAUCUUUUGACCUUUACCUCGUUCAUUCUUCCUACCAGAAUCGAAUUGACACAGUUUUGGUGUCAGGUCCCUGUGAUACUUACAUCGUAUGCGAUUGUUCUAACACCUAAAUUGGUGUCAGGGGAUAGUAGAUGGUUUAGUAGGAUCCGUCUUGAUUCGAGAGACUCCAGGUUAUUGUCGGAAUUCUUGGAACUUUGAUUAUAGCUCGGUGAGGUGCGAAAAUCGGUUUGAGAAACCGUUUUUUAAAGCCUCAGUUUGUACAGUUCGCGGCUUAGUGUCGCUAGCAACUUUCGGAUGUUGAAAGUAUAGGACUCCCUGUGAGUCGGUUCAGGGUCGUUCUGAUUUCGAAUGUCGACUUGUAAAGUCGAUGUUUCGAUAGUAAGGGUUGUGAACUCGUGGUUCAAUGAAGAGGUAUCAGGUGGCUUGAUACUUCGACGUGUCACACUUCCAACUUGUUGUUAGUAGUAGAUCUUCAGAUAUUUCGCUUUUUUUUGAUAAGUAUAUUGGCUGCAGACAAUGUACUGUCGAAAGAUAGGACGAAAUACCCUUUUCCCUGUUUGGGACUUUUGGAUUGGGUCGGUGUUUUCCCUAGUUGUUUAUGAGAACGCUUGAGUCUCUGACCUUGUGGCGAACCUUGGAUUAUUCCUUGGCAGGUUUUUGUACAGUUGACUUAUCAUCACUUCUGAUGGUUUUGACUUUGGUCCGAGUCUAGGUUAUCGUUGGUCCUAUUGUUGUGCCUUCCACAGCUAAGAGUUUCUUGGGUAGUAGUCUUGGUUUGUUGUCGCGACGUUCAGAAUCACAAUUGUGGAGUGACUUGAGCAUGGUUGUUGGCUUUGAUUGUCACCGUAUGUGAUAGCGUAUAAGGUUUGCGGCUCGGCUUUUCGUGCAAACCUUGGAAUGUUAUGCUUGUCCGAUUAUUUGGUGACAGGUGCGCCAGGGUCUUAAUGAGACAGGCAUUUGGUAUUGCUCGGAACAUCGAUCGCUAGGGUCCAUGGUAGGACGACAGCGACAGGGUCUUGUGAAGACAGGUGUUGGGUAUCACCGAUGGUUGGUAUCGCAUGGUGCGAUUGGCUAUCCUGUGCAUCAAGUAAUGGACUUGCAUGGUGGGUAUGUUGGUGGUCUAUUGGUACCGGAUUAAGUUUGAGGGGACAUUAUGGUCUAGCCCAAUUGGUUUUGUCAGUUGGAUCUUUUGGUCAAGUGGAAUGUGAGGCCUUGGACCUAGGACUAUAGAUUGUCGCAGGUGACUUUACAUUGAUGAGGUUUGGCAGUUUGUGUGGUUACUCGUGUAGACUGUGGUCUCCGAUGUGAGUGAUUUUGACUCGGAUUUUAGAACAACAUUUCGUUUUCGCUCAUGGUGAGCAGGUUGACGUUGUUGAAUAGUCGGAGUUUUUCGUUUCUGUCUACGUAAAUAGACUCCAGAUUAAAAUGGUUGUCUCGUGACUUUUCUACGUGAACUUGCGACGUAGUCGAGUCGGUUACGGCUAUGCGGACUAAGGUAGAACGGACCUAAAUUUCUGAAUGUUGAUUAAUUAUCUCAGAAUUGGCAAAUUGGGAUCGAAUAAUCCUAGUCGCGGGACUGUCUUUGUCCGCAGGUUAUAGGAUAGUGUUGAUCCCGGUGAGUUUUGGUCCGUAGAUUUUGGGUUAGUACGUUUUCCCUCGAUUUGUCCAGGUGGAACCGCAGUCCUAUUUUUUCCCCUUUCUACGGAAGUUGAUAUAUCCAGAUGUAAUUGACCAGUACUCAAGGGUGAUAUUACAGUGGUGGAGUAAUAUCCGAAUUCGAUUUCGGUGGGUAUGUGGUCAAGUUUCGGGGACGAAACUUCUUUUAAGGGGGGGAUAAUGUAAGGACUGAGUUUUUUACAGUGCAACUAAACUCUCUGUUGAUGAUGUUUAUGUGUGUAAUUUAAUUACAUAAGCACUCGUCAAGUUUCAGGAGAAAAUGAGCUAAAAUGGAGAAGUUACGCGAUUAUUAGUUUUCACUUAAGUGAAUAGUAACUCCGGUUUUCCGGAGAAGCCACGGAGUAGAGUUGGCUUUCGGCGCGUAUCGGACUCCGUUCAUAGCGAUCCAAUAGCUCGUUUUGAACGGUUCAGCUAUUCUGGAACCAAUGGCACUGACGGAUUUUAGAUCUGAUGCACGGUUUUCGAGAAAAUCUGAAAAUACAUGUUUCUUAUGUAAUUGUGCAUCAUUUUGGCCUUUUGGAGAGAGAUUGGAUUUCGUCGUGAAUCGGAGAUCAAAUCGGACGAAACGAAAUGCUAGAUUCGAUGCCUCGACGUGCUGAACGCGUUGGCGUGAUCCGAUCGGAAAUCCGAUGGACGGAUCUUUGGGAAUUGCAAUAAGUUCGCUAAGGGGUCGAGAGUGGAAAAUCGGGAAAUUCGCCAAAGUCGUAAUAUUUUAUGUACCGAAUCGCGCGAGAUCGAUUGUGGAGGUGCAAAAGCGCGAGAGUUACCCAUUGUGAAGGACUAGGGUUGAAAUUUGUAGUUCGGUGGACUUUUGUGCAAAAUUGCACUUUGUAUACAAUGUGCAUCUAGGGUUUCUAUGCACGAAACCCUAGAUCUACUCAACCCAGCGCCCAGCUGUGCCCUAGCCGCCAUCUGCAGGUCCAUGCCCUAGCAGGGCGCGCGCCCCGGCCGCCGGCGAGCUUCCCCGGCCGCCGAAAACCAGGAUCGGCCUCUCCUCUACCAUCAUCUCCACCUAGCCACCUUCUUCUUUGGUCUUUAAGCUCGAGGGGUGACCAUCCACGUCGAUACUGCACCCUCUGGCCGAGACCCUUCUCCAGCAUCAUCGCCGCCGGCCGCCGCCGUCCCGGCCGCCCCGGAGCGCCGCCACCGCCGCCCUGGCAGGAUGCGGCCAACCUGGACAGAUUUGGCCGAGGUUGUGAGAUCUCCUCCUCCUCGUCCUGCUGCCGCUCGGGAUUGGAUGAACCACCCUUCUCGAUCUCCCCGGCGCCGUCCCUGCCAGCCGUCGCCGUUCGCACGCGCCGCCGGCGCCGUCGGGACCAUCUGCGACAAUAUGCUGCAGCUCGGGCCGAGCUCGAGUCAGCUCGUGGCCGCGAGUUGCAGCCGCCUCGAGGCGGUCGGCCCCACCUUCCUCUUCUGUCGGCGACCUCACGCGCAUGUUUCCUGGCGCCCCCGACCACCGCUGGCCGCCGCCUGAAGCUCCUGCAGCUGCCCAGACUUGGUGCGGGCCGAGGCUGGGCUUCCCUCCAAUCCGCGCGUCGCCGCCGCCCACAGCGGGGAGCACCACCCUUCCCACGGCCUCCGGCGACGGAUCGCCGUCGCCCCGCCCUUCUCCGGUCGCCGCCGCGCCGCCGGGAAGCGUUGAACCCGAGAGCCACUUCGAGGAAUUGAUCUCUUCCGCCGCGCCACCGGCCACCUCCCGCCGCCGGCCAGCAGGUUCCCCGGACCCCUUGGACUGAAAGGGACCCCGGGGCGUGACAAGUGGAGGUUGCUGGAGCUCUGAGAAAGCCUCUACCACCUUCUCCACCUUCUCUCUCUAGGAUUUUUCUCUCUCUACAAAGGAAUCGCCGAUUUCUCUCGUUUUCGUCGCAUCGCGUGUUCUUCGCUGGUUGCGAGCGUUGCGAAGCUUAUGUGGACGUGGGAAGGAGUGUUUUGGAAGGAUUUUCGCAGCUCUGAACCAGUGGGUCACUGGUUGGAAGCUUAAGAAGGUAAUUGACUCAAAUUUUCCGCUAUUGACGUUCUAUUAGUCGAAUUGAGUGUGGAUUUCGGGUUUUUGCUUCUAGCUGUGCUAGACUGAGAUUUCAGCAUUUAAAGAUGAGUUAAUUAGCUAUGAAUUAAUCUCCUUAGAUCAGGGAUAAGUUAAUUUGAAGUUUAAUAAGAUAAAUAGCUUGUUAUGAAGCUAUUUCGAUCUAUACGCGGGUUAUUCUAUCGAAUUGAUGCAGUUUGGAAAUUGUGUCUUCGCAGCGGGUUUCUGAACCACGUGGAGCUUAUUUGGUGACCUGGGAGGCAGGUUUAGAAGGUGUUCUAACCUGAGGUAAGCAAGAAUUUUAGUUAGGAAGCUGAAAUUGUAAGAUUCCGACUAUAUUUGCUAAUAAAUGAUGAUUUUGAUGCCGUUUUGACGUUGUUUGCAGCGAGAUUGCGAUCGAGCCUUGGAUCGUUUUCGACUGACUUGUGAGGACUCUUGGAGGUUACAUUUGAGGUACUAAUGUGACACGAAACAGGGGUUUAAGUUUCUACUUUGUACUAAGUGCAAUUUAGGCCGAAAUCGGACAUUUCGGUUGUAGUAUUGAUACGACUUUCGUACCUUGUUACAGCAGGAUUGAGGCUUCGUUGAGCUUGAUUUUGGGACUCUUGUGGAUUGAAUUGGAGUCUUGUAUUAGGUGGGUUUGACCUAACCAGAGCAAGUGAAGCUCCUCUAUGUUCUAUAUGUGAUUAUAGGAUUGGUUUAGUUGUGCGUACUUGUAAUUAUUUUGAGUGGUUAAGUACUUGGAACUUGUUACUAUAAUGUUCGAUGCAAUUAAAAUAGAACCUCUAUGAAGUAGAGAGUAUUCAUGCAUAAAAGUAUUCAUGCAUAAACAUCUUCUUGUUUAGUUCAGUAGAACGAUCAAGAGAUAACUUUCAUAUGCUCUAUCAAGUAGAGAAUAAUGAUAUUCUUGUGACUUUAUUGAUUUCAAGUUAGAGAACAAUGACACUCUCUUGACUCUAAAGUAAAGAACAAUAAUAUGCUUUAUGCCUAUGUUGAUAGUGCCAUGAUAGUGGAAAGAUUCUAAUGCCAUAUGUGAAUUUAGCAUGAUUCUUGCAUGUUUAUUAAUCUAGUUGAUACUAGUUAUUGCCAAUACUUGUUAUGUUGAGAUUCCGAUCAAAGGAUCGAGAGUGAGAACAUUGUAAGUUGGAAAGUGAUGACUGAGAUAUAUUGGGCUAUGGAUUUGCUUGCUGCCAUUGUGCUCAUUCGCACAUGCUUGUGAGGGUCGCUCCCUACAAGCCGGCACUCCGGAGUUGGCCUACGCGACAGUUGCUCGCCCGUGCGGGACUGGAUGCUGAAGUGGAUUGCCGUGAGGAGUGUACACUAUCACGGGGCCAUUAGGCGCGACGCAAGCUGGACUACCUUGAGUAGGUCCCUGUGAAUGAAAGAAAAGUGCUAAAGAAAAUUGGACAGUAAUGAAUGAUUACCAGUUAUAGUGUAUAGUAGUUACUUACACAUUUAUGCUUAUGUUCAUGUUUACAGUAGUUGCUAUACUUCUAUUAUUCAGUUGAUUUAUUACUGUUGAGACUAUAAUUACAUGUUGCUUACAUGCUCAUUACCUGUUAGCAUUGCAUAUUUAUAUCUAUCAUGUAAUUACUGCUUUUACUUUCAAUUAGCACAUCAUGAGCCUAGUGGUGUAAUUCGCCGAGGCUGGCAGCUUACCCACUGGGAACUAUUGUUAAUAGUUCUCACGCCCUUUUGUGGUUGUUUUUACAUAGCCAUCUACAGGAGAGGUUAGGGAUCGUGGCAAGGGAGUCGCGUCUAGCUAGACAUUGCUAGAAGCAUGCUAGUCGAUCACCUUACUACUCGGGCUACGGCCGAGGGUGAUGUCCCUAUGUAUAGAGAGACCACCAUUGUACUUACUUUUUGUAUACUCCGUGAUGUAUAUUGACUAUUGAACCAGAUAUUAUAGUUGUGACACUUUCUUUUUUUAGUUGAGAUUUUGGUUUGUAUACCCUUUGUUCUAUUGUUUUGACGUCUACGAUGCUCUGAUAUCAGGAUAGGAUUCUUUAUGUUCUACUCCUAUCGACUUGGUUGUUGUAGACGCCUUAUAUACUGCAGGUGUAUGGCGGGUCUGUGCACGUAUUGGAUAUGCUUUUGCUGGUACCCGGGCGUGACACAAAAUAAAAAUACUGAAAAGGUUGAGUACCAAUGUUCAAUUAAUCCUAAAAAAAGUGUAUGUAGGCUUCACAACCUCAAAAUAAGAGGAUUAUUAUAUAUAUUAUUAAUAUAUAAUAAUUAUUAUUCUAUAUAUAAAAAAUUAUUAUAUAAUAAUAUAUUUAAAUAUAAAAUAAAAUUAUAUAUAAUUAUAUAUAGUACUAUAUAUAUAUUAUGUAUAUAUAUAUGAGCUAGGCUGUAUACUAUCGGCUAGCCGGGCCUCCCGUUGCUACCAAGUUGUUCUUUGAUGAUGCGGCUUUCAAAACGAUCGUCGGCCUCGUUAGACUUGAUCUAUACUAUAAUAAGUAUUUUGGAAACUAAAUUUUCGUAAUUUUGCGCAUCAUUUGGCUGAGGUGUCAAAGGUUCCAAAUUAACAAUUUUAAUGGUAGAAUAUGAUGCCGUUUUAUAAGUUCAACGUGUAGAAGUAUCCAAUAGCAUUAAAAUUUAAUAGAAUUCCUACUUAACAUCUAUAGCAAGACCAUAAUACUUGGUAUUUGAAAUUUGAUUCUUUAUCCUGAUUUUAUGAGAUUUUCUUUUCAACGUUCAUUUUUAGACUACUCGUUUGAUUAGGUAAAUGAUGCCGAAAACCUUAUGGAAAUUAGUUUCCAAUAUUUUAAUAGUGUUAUCAAGAUUAACGGAACCGAUCGUUGAUUUUAGAAGCACAUCUAUUCAAAACAACUUGGUAGCACGCAAGCCUUCUGUGCUACCGAUAGUAUACGCCUAGCUCCUAUAUAUAAUAUAUAUAUUACUAUAAUAAUAUAUAUAAUUGAACUCCUAUGGCUUAAAAGUAGCAAGACACAUUUGGUACUUAUAGAUUUUUAGUCAUUGAUUUAAGAGAUAAUGCAGUUAGAUCGAUGUGGGCCCCUAGUUGAGUGGUUGGUUGGUUAUCGUAAUAUCUAAUGGGUUGACAAUGAUCCCGUGGAUGUAAAUUUAACGAAAAAAACUUACAAGCACCAAUGUUGGUGCUUUUACAGCACAUACUGGCCUAUAUAUAUAUAUUAUAUAUUAUACGAGCUAAGCUGGUAUACUAUCGGUAGCACGGAGGCUCCGUGCACAAGUUGUUUUCAUGAUGCGGCUUCCGAAUCGACGAUUGCUCCGUUAGACUUGAUCUAACUAUUAAAAGUAUUUAGAACCUAAAUUUCAUAAUUUGUCGACAUCAUUGCCUGUGAUCAAAAGGUCUCAAAAUUGACAAUUUUAAUGAUAGAUGUGAUGCGUUUGUGAAUUUAACGGUGUAAACAAUCCAAAUCUGAUGAAUUUUUAUAGAAAUUUUUUUUACUAUUUAGAGUAAGAUCAGUGCCUAUGAUCUUAAAUUCAGUCUUUUAUCAUCAUUUUUUAUGAAUUUUUAUUUCAGCGUUCAUUUUUAGACUCGUUUGAUAGGUAAAUGUUACGAAAAUUAGUGAAAUUUAGUUUCAAUAUUUUCAAUAGUGUUAAUCAAGUCUAACGGAGCGAUCGUCGAUUGGAAGCCGCAUCAUCGAAACAACUUGGUAGCACGGAGCCCUCCUCACCAAUAGUAUACAGCAUAGCUCUAUAUAUAUAUAUCAUAAUAUCUAAUAUAUAUAUAUAUAUAUAUAUAUAUAUAUAUAUAUAGUGCGUCUGGUGUGCUUCUGGAAACACGGAGCACUCCGUGCUUCCAAGUCGUUUUCGAUGUUGGGACUUUCGAAUCGACGAUCGGCUCCGUUAGACUUGAUCUAGAGUAUUUGAAAUAUCUAAUAAAUAAAUUUUGUGUGUUUUCAAUAUCAUUUUCCUAUUCAUCGAAGUGGCUCAAAAUCAUCGGUUGAAAAUAAAAAUCUUACAAAAUAUGAUGAUAUGAUAUUAAAUUUUAGAUCAAAGUUAUUGAUCUUGUUUUAUAUAGUAUAAAAAAAAUUUUAUCAAAAUUUCAUGUGAUUUGAAUGUUUCUACACUGUUAAACUUGCAAACGGCUCACUACGGCCAUUAAAAUUAUUGAUUUUGAGCCCCUUCGAUCACUAGGCAAAUGAUAUUGAAAAAUCACAAACUUUAUUUUCUGGGUAUUUCAAAUUCUCUAGAUCAACUCUAACGGAGGGAGAGAGAGGUCCACUGCUCUGUCUCCCUCUUAAGCGGUCCACGAGGUGAAGCCCAUCUCAUGGGCCGCGUGCAAAUAGGCAGGGGUGCAAAAAGGCAUGAGUCCCGUCUUUUUUAUUGUGGGUGGGCAAGAGAGAAAGGAAGCUGACGGGUGGGCCCCACUUUUACCGUGGGAUGCGGUGAGGCAUUCUUGGUUCCAAUUCAUAAGUUUAUAAAUAUAUUGAAUAAUGAACAACUCUCGCCCGUGAGAGAGAGAGAGAGAGAGAGAGAGUACAUGCAAAGAGAUAGAAAAGAAAAGAAAAGAAAAGCCAAAGACCAUGCAUUUGUCCUGAUCCACUUCUUCAAUUGCUCACCAAUUUGCAGGGGAGCCAUGCAUGCACAUUCACAUUCUGCCGCUGCACUCUUUUGUCCGGCCCCUUCUUGUCACUAAUUAAUUUGAUAUUAAUUUAACUAAAUAAUAAUUAAUAAAUUUAGUACUUCAACCAGAAGCGUGGACUGACUGGUACGUAGAUUCAUGGUCUCCAUCACACAGUCGCCACCUGCAUUUCUUUCCUAAUCAUUAUUUUAUUCAUUUAUUUAUCUAAUUUCGAUCAUUUACUUGUUUAGUGGCAUUGGGUCCAAAUAUAGAAAAUACCUAGGAAGUAUCACAAAAAGAUGAUGUUAAUUCCUAAUGUCACACUGUCCCGUCCCUAGAGCAAGUGACAAAGGGCUUGGUGGUUGGUAUCCGAGACUUAAUUUCGAAUCCUAAUUGAUUCACAUUUCCAGUUGGGUAGCAACAUGUUACAGAAUAUGUGGAUACCUGCCAUUGUCCCAAAUACAUAGAAGUGGAGGACGAUACAUAAAUCCAUACAGAAAAUUAAACACAUGCAAAGACAUAUAUGACUAUAAUUUGGAACUUGUUUGAUAUCCAUGGUCAUCUAACAUUAUUAAGUAAAAUAAAUUUAAGUAAAUAUAUAUAUAUAUACAAAGAUAUACUAUCUAUAUACCUUAUAUAAAAUUUAUUUGGUAAAACUGUAAAAAAUAUAUUGUAAUCUCCCAUAAUCUAAAACGGAGUCAUAGGCCAUGUUUGAAUAUAUGAAUAACUUAUUCGGUAUUUCUUCUUAAUUAAUUUACUCAAAAAAAUUAUAUAUUUGGACGAUAAAAAGUGUGAUCAAAAUUUAAAAUAGAAUAAUUUAUGGGCAUUCAAGUCAUUUUUUUUAUAAUAAGAUAAAUAAUCUCGUUGAUGAAAUAUAUUAUUCUACUAAAUCAUGGAUAUUAAAAUUUUUCAAAAAAAUACAAUAAUAUACUUAAAAAAUUCUUAUAUCGAAUAAACUAUCCUUAAAUAACUUAUUCGAAUAUCUAAACAAGAUCGAAGGCAGAAUAUGAUAUUUCAUUUUAAUAUUUAAUUAUACUUUUAAUGAUCCAAAUAUAUAUUUUUUAAAUAAAUUAAAAAAUAUAUCUAAUAAAAUAUUUAUACAUCGAAAUAGAACUUUAGUGAUCAACACUUGUACUAGCAGUUUAGAUCAUAGUUACUAAAUUCAGAUUCGACAAAAAUUUGGUACGGGUAUAAUAUGCAUAAAAUUUAUUUUCUAAUUUUUAAAUUUGUUAAAAAAUUCAGCUUAAAAAAUGGAUUCGGUAUAAAAUAUAAAAUAUAAGAUAUAAAAUAUAAGAUAAUCUAUAUUUAAAUAUAAAAAUUAUAAGUUUUUUAUUCAGAUUUUUAAUAAUUUAAGAAUAAUUCGCGAAUAAUUUGGUUGGCCUAAAAUUCACAAAUAAUUUUAUUUUUAGAAAAAAAAUUUGUGAACAAAUUGUUUGAUUCAGAUUUUUAAAAAUUUGCGAAUAAUUUGCGAGCUAACUGACAAAGAUUAGAUCCAUCUAUAUAGUACAUACUUGUAUAGCCUUGCGGCUCGAAUUCAAAUCGGAACCGGCACUUUUUAAUCGCAAAAGUUCAUGCGCAUGGAAUUGUUCCGCCACUAUUCUACACAGUUUAAACUGGGGUAUUAAUAGACCUAACAAUUUCGACCCAUACCCACGGAUGCCCGCGGAUUACCUGCAAAUUUGCGGGUAUGGGUACCAACUUUUUCAACCCAAAAAAUUACGGGUAAAACGGGUGGAUAUUAAGGUGUGGACAUUUUGGGUAACCCGCGGGUACCCACGCGUACCCACACAUAUAUUUUUUAAUUAUAAAAUAUAUUUUCUUAAUUAAAAUAUUUUUUUUUUUAUUUACUCAUUCUAAAAAUCCUAACCUAAUUUCUUAUCGCAUUAUUUUUUUAUAAAAUUUUUUUGCUUUAAGACUUUAAAUAUUUUUAUUAUAUGUUAUGAUAUUUUAAAUAAUAAGUUAUGUUAUACCNUAUAUAUAUAUAUAUAUAUAUAUAUAUAUAUAUAUAUAUAUAUAUAUAUAUAUAUAUAUGUGUGUGUGUGUUUUGUAUUUAAAAAAUAUAAGAGCAAAAAAUUAAAAAAAAAAGAUUGUGGGUAACCCGCAUACCCACCUGCCCACCAGUGGGCGGGUAUGGGUAAAGAUGUUCGCUAUCCAAAAAUUAACGGGUAAAUUUUACCCAUGCCCAAAUAACCCGCGGGUACAAUAGUCCGCCCGCGUAUUACCCAAUCCACCCAUUUGCCAGGUCUAGAUAUUAAGAAAGAGAUUGUCGAGCACUUUUUGUAGGAUAUAAGCUUUAUAAACUCUCAUACUAGGAAGUGGGCGGUGGCCAGCCGGCGCAUCUACUUUAUAUUAAAGAAAAAAAAAAUUUCUACUUGGAAAAGUAAAAUGAGCCCGACAAUGGCCGAAGUAAAUGGGCCCAAAAGAGUGUUGAAAAUGGAGUGCAAGAAAAGAAACACCCAAACAAGAUAGGAAGCAGAUACUUUUCCCAAAAAAGUAUAUCACAGAGCAAUGUUCUCGCUGAAAAAAAAAUUUUCAUUCAUUUAGUUUUCAAGAAAAAAAUUUAUUUUUGCGAGACAUUUCCCAUGAUUAUUGUGCAAUUCUUAACCGGUUCGAUAUAGAAAAAAAUAAUCGAUUCGAAAAAAAUAGAGUAUUAUAAAAAAUAGUAAAGUCGGUUCGAUGGAAAGAAAGAACAAAUUUAAAAAUAACCAAUUAAAAAUGAAAAAAAACGAUUCAAAGGAGACGAAGAGUCAGAACUGAGCCGAACUCAAAAGAAAACCUGACAGGUGAAAGCUACUUUCAGCAGAUGAAACCCACUUACCACAUAUGCAGAUUACCAAAAAUUAAUAUAUAAUUAUUACAGUUAUAAAUACCUUAUUUCCUUUUUUUGCGUGCGCACUUGAGCACCGAGAGGGUCCGUUUGUUUUGGCGUAAGUGGAGGAAUGGAACUCAAAUUCCAUCACUUUUAUUAUUUAUUUUGGUGUAAGUCAAAAAUAUAAUAUAACUCAAAGUUACGUUAUGAGCCCAUUUGUUUGCACGAAAGUGUGGUGGAAGUGGGAAGGGAGAAGUAAUUUUCGAUAAAAACAGAUCACUUCCGUUGUUUGGUUCACCAUAAUUUUAUUACACCCGAAAGUUUAGUUCACCCAAAAUAAUGAAAUUGACUUCCCCCUCCCAUGGGGCAGAGUCAAUUUCGGUGAGGUGAAAAGAGGCAAGAGUGGAAAUUAAUGUGUUAGAGUUACCCUUUUCUCUACCCUUUCCUUUCCCGAGUCCGAGACACAACUUCAAAUAUAUUCAACUGCGGAAGUAAUUAAAUUUUUUAUUUUGAUUGUAUGUCUAAAAUAUGAUGAAAUUUGGUUAGAUAAGUUUUAAUAUAUUUUUUGUUUAAUUUGUAUAUUUAGAAAAUGAUGAAAAAUAAAUUUGUUAAAUGUUAAUAAUUUUUUAACUUUAGACUUUUAUUUGUUGUAAUUAUAAUUUAUAUGCAAACAAAUAAUCAAAUUUUUUAAAAUUUUAUUUUAUAAUCAUACAUAUAUAUAAUUAUAUACAUAUAUAAUUAUAUUAAUUUUUAUUUAUUAUAAUUUAUUAUUCACUAAGUUACAAAAUAUAUAAUAAUAUCACUUCGGAGGUAAGUAUACCGGGAGUGAACAGCUACACUUUUUACGUCAUCUACUUCCAACCAAACAAACAACAGAACUAGCAGAACUGCACUUCCACAGUUAGAAACAAACAGCGGAAGUGAAUUAAUUUUCACCCCAACUCCACUUCAACCCAAAGUCCACUUCCACCCCAAGUCUACUAACGUUGAAACAAACACGCCCUAGACCUCCACUUCACCUACUCUCGACUUCCUCCUCUAAAGUACCGAACUCGACUUCCACCAGAUUCAACCUCUUCUAAAAAUUUAUUAAAUAGUAAAACAUAAACCCUACUUUCUUUAUAAUUGAUCAAAAUUACCUUAUUUAUAAUAAAUUAGAAUUACCUUUAAAUAAUAAUAAAAAAUUUAAUUAUAUGAUAGGUUAAAUUUUAUAACGGUAAAUUUAUCACUAUAUUUAGGAAAUAACGGGAUACACUUACCUCAAAAUAAACAGUGAAACUCAAAAAACUAAUUUCACCAGCACCAAGUUAUAUCAAAACAAACAGAAGAAAUAAUUAAAUUUAACUUUCAGACUGUACGAGUUAUGUCAAAACAAACAAAAAAAAUUAAUCACACUAAUGAAAAACUCAAACACCUUUGCAGUUGAGUUACGUCAGAUCUACAAAUUCGUUAAUCCAAAUGCCCCGGAAGUGAGUGCCUAUCCAUGUGCUCGUCUACGUCGUGAGCGUGCAUGAAUGUCGUGCGAGACUAUACAUGUAUAAAAAUCAUACUGGGCACUUCUCUUUUGUUUUUUUGAGAAUUAGAUCCCUACGACUAAAUAAUAUAAAAAAUAUCUAAAGUAAUUUUUUUCAAAAUAAGAUUAAUCAGAUCAUAAGCAAAAUGCAUUAUUCGCAAAGAAAUGACCGUCAAGAACUUCCAACAAGCUAAAAGCAAACUCAAUGCAAUCACAAAAGAAAAUCUGCGGCAUGUACAAAUUAUCAAAAAACUAGUUCACACAUCCAAAAAGGCACUAAGCAACUAUUUUAUCAUUUAUUUGAGUGAAUCAAAUAAAUGUAUCCAUAACUCAGUCAAAAUAUUAGAUCCGUUAUAUCUACAAAUCUAAAUACAAAUUCAAUCUAAAUGAACAAAAUCCAUUACCAUGCCAAGCUCAAUCAACCAUACAAUCAAGUCUAUUUGAAUGUCAGAAUAAAAUAUCCAAUGAUAACUUACUCGACAUAAAAAUUUCUUGUCUAAUUGGAAAUUUUAAAAAAAAAUGAUUUUUGCUCUUUGAAAGAUUUCGGCAUUCACAAUUCGAUAGGAUAGUAUAUUUCACAUGUAAGGUGAUUUAUCUUAUUUUUAAAAAGUGAUUUGCAGGUCGAACUCAAACAGUCAAACUAAGACUCCACAAACCCUAAAUAGUAGUUACCAAAAAGAAUAUCCAGAGAUGCAAAAUGAGCAGACGAAUGAACACAUAAAACUGAAAACAUGUAUCUCAGGAAACCAAAAUCUGAGAAAAGAUAGCAGCUUCAGUAUACACUUUUGUGAGGGAAACAAACGGCCCCUGUUUCUUCAUGAAAAUUGCAUAUUCCUAAUUUAAGUCUGAAUACAUUAAACUUUAUAUGAGAUAUGAACUCAAUGAAAGAACAAUCAUCCUAUACUUUAAAGGGUAUGACAUUGUAUUUACAAUCAAACACUAAGUUACACUAGGUUUUGCUAGGUAUGACAAAACUCGCACAACUGCUCUGUUUAAUAAGUUAAAAUUUUUCCUGCAACUAACUUGGGUGACAUGGAAUGUGGUUACCUGCAUGGUAAGAAGCUCAUUACGAUGAGUUCCAAUUCACCAGUCAUCAUUGGCCUGCAUCAGGAGGUUGCUGAGCAUGGACUGCAGCUUGUCGCCUCUGACGUUCCCGCAAGUAAAGAACAGUCAAGAGGCAAGCAAAGAGGGUUAAUAUUGUUGCAUUGCCUUCGUCAAGGAUUACAUCCUCCACCCAUUCCUCGAUCCUUGGGUAAACCUCCGGAAGUGAAUCGAUCAGAUUAACCUGCUUAAUGGUGAGAAAUUCUUUAUGUUUUCUACCAAAAAAAUCAAGGAUAGAUUGCACCAGGGUUCCUCAACCUUUCUGUAGCUUCAGUUUGGCCACAACCUUUUAUUGUCAUAAUUCAGUCCCUAACUCUCACAAAGCAAUCUUACCGGGCUUUUUUUGCAUUUAGCCCCCUAAAAAAAAUUUAUUUUAAAAAUAGCCCCAGCAAAUUAUAUUUGCACUUUUGGCCCUCAUCCUGCCACGCAGACGCCACGUCAGCGCCACGCGAGCAGGGCUGGGCCAAGGUGUUAAGUUGAACACGGUUAACCAUUCACCGUAUCCAAACACGGUAAAUGAUUUACAGCGUCUAGAGAAAAUACAAAUAUAUGUAUUUUUCGCAAUAUAAAUAUUAAAAAGAGGAAGAGGGAGUAGGGAUGUCAAUGGGUAUGGAUACCCGAAAUAUUAUCCGAGCCCAAACCCGAAUAAAUUAUUUAUAUACAUAAUUUAUUUUUAUUUAUUUAUACAAUAUAUAAAAUAUUUAAUAAUUUUUAUCCCUUAGAUUUUCAUCCAACGGUAUGAAUUUUUAAAACCCGUUGGGUUCGGGUUUCGGGUUUUUGGUCGGGUAUGGAUAUGGGUAUGGAUUUUUAAAACCCAUCGGGUUCGGAUCCGAGUUCAUAUUUUAAUUUGAUUUUCAAGUUCGGGUUCGGGUUUUUGAAAAGGAGAAGAAGAGGAAUAUAAAUAUGAAACACGGUGAACCAUUCACCGUGUUUGAACACGGUGAACCAUUCACCGUGUUUGAACACGGUGAACCAUUCACCGUGUUCAACUUGCCAAACAGGCUCCCAGCCCGCCCACAUGGCGCUUGCGUGGCAGGGAUAGGGCCAUUUUUGCAAUUAUAAAUUUGUUGGGGCUCGUUUUAAAAUAAAAUUUUUCUAGGGGGCCAUUUGCAAAAAAAGCCCAAUCUUACCCUUUUAAUUGAAUUCCUCCAUCAUAUUAUAUUAGACAGAGAUACACAAUCACUAAAUACAAACAUAAGAACAUUUGAGCUUCUAGCAGUUAGUGGGCAUUUCCAUCCAAUUUAACCACAGAAGUCAAUAAAAGGACUUACUAUUAAAUAUUAAGGAUAGAAACCAAAUUGUGGCAAUUGAUAGGUUGAUAACCUAGGUGAGAACUCCUAGAAAAAGUUGAGGACCCUGGUGGAUCUCACCAAAGACUUUAAAAGUCGAAUUAGAAGAAUUAGAAGGCUACUUGACCUGUAGAUAGACGCAAACUUAUUGAAGAUUGUUAACAACAUUACAUGAUCUAUUGCAACAGACUGAAACAGAUGAACAACAACCUAAUUUUACUUGGCAAAAUAAAUUUCAAGUUUUAAGAUUGGAAAUAAGUUGUAAAUAAUAGUACAUUAUGUUCCAGCUUUAAAAACUAAAUCGUUUAUUCUACGUUUAUUCUAUGAAUCAUGAUUUGUCUAGAAAGUACCACAGCAAACAUCUCAAAACCAGAAUUAGCAGGACAUUUAGCCAAUAACUUUAUUCUUAACUCGGUACUUUUAAGAUAGCUCUUUUCAGUGAUACUACAUUAGCCAAGAUACAUGCGGCUUACUAUGGCAGCACUGCUAUUUUCUUCAUUCACUAUAUACAAAUUAUCCAAGUAUUGUAAUUAAAGGCCAACAACAUACAUACAAUUUAAACAAGGCAAAAAUGUAUGAAGACCUGCUCAACUGUAACCCCUUCCUCCCNCAACUGCUCUGUUUAAUAAGUUAAAUUUUUUCCUGCAACUAACUUGGGUGACAUGGAAUGUGGUUACCUGCAUGGUAAGAAGCUCAUUACGAUGAGUUCCAAUUCACCAGUCAUCAUUGGCCUGCAUCAGGAGGUUGCUGAGCAUGGACUGCAGCUUGUCGCCUCUGACGUUCCCGCAAGUAAAGAACAGUCAAGAGGCAAGCAAAGAGGGUUAAUAUUGUUGCAUUGCCUUCGUCAAGGAUUACAUCCUCCACCCAUUCCUCGAUCCUUGGGUAAACCUCCGGGAGUGAAUCGAUCAGAUUAACCUGCUUAAUGGUGAGAAAUUCUUUAUGUUUUCUACCAAAAAAAUCAAGGAUAGAUUGCACCAGGGUUCCUCAACCUUUCUGUAGCUUCAGUUUGGCCACAACCUUUUAUUGUCAUAAUUCAGUCCCUAACUUUCACAAAGCAAUCUUACCGGGCUUUUUUUGCAUUUAGCCCCCUAAAAAAAAUUUAUUUUAAAAAUAGCCCCAGCAAAUUUAUAUUUGAACUUUUGGCCCUCACCCUACCACGCAGACCCCACGUCAGCACCACGCGAGCGGGGCUGGGCCAGGGUGGUAAGUUGAACACGGUUAACCAUUCACCGUGUCCAAACACGGUAAAUGAUUUACCGCAUCUAGAGAAAAUACAAAUAUGUGUUUUUCGCAAUAUAAAUAUUAAAAAGAGGAAGAGGGAGUAGGGUUGUCAAUGGGCAUGGAUACCCGAAAUAUUACCCGAACCCAAACCCGAAUAAAUUAUUUAGAUACAUAAUUUAUUUUUAUUUAUUUAUACAAUAUAUAAAAUAUUUAAUAAUUUUUAUCCCUUAGAUCUUCAUCCAACGAUAUGAAUUUUUAAAACCCGCCGGGUUCGGAUUCGGGCCCGGGUUCGAGUUUCGGGUUUUUGGUCGAGUAUGAAUAUGGGUAUGGAUUUUUAAAACACAUCGGAUUUGGAUCCGAGUUCGGGUUUUAAUUUGAUUUUCAGGUUCGGGUUCGGGUUCGGGUUUUUGAAAAGGAGAAGAAGAGAAAUAUAAAUAUGAAACACGGUGAACCAUUCACCGUGUUCAACUUGCAAAACAGACUCCCAGCUCGCCCACGUGGCGCUUGCAUGGCGCCUGCGUGGCAGGGAUAGGGCCAUUUUUGCAAUUAUAAAUUUGUUGGGGCUAGUUUUAAAAUAAAAUUUUUUCAGGGGGCCAUUUGCAAAAAAAGCCCAAUCUUACCCUUUUAAUUGAAUUCCUCCAUCAUAUUAUAUUAGACAGAGAUACACAAUCACUAACUACAAACAUAAGAAACAUUUGAGCUUCUAGCAGUUAGUGGGCAUUUCCAUCCAAUUUAACCACAUAAGUCAAUAAAAGGACUUACUAUUAAAUAUUAAGGAUAGAAACCAAAUUGUGGCAAUUGAUAGGUUGAUAACCUAGGUGAGAACUCCUAGAAAAAGUUGAGGAUCCCUGGUGGAUCUCACCAAAGACUUUAAAAGUCGAAUUAGAAGAAUUAGAAGGCUACUUGACCUGUAGAUAGACGCAGACUUAUUGAAGAUUGUUAACAACAUUACAUGAUCUAUUGCAAGAGACUGAAACAGAUGAACAACAACCUAAUUUUACUUGGCAAAAUAAAUUUGAAGUUUUAAGAUUGGAAAGAAGUUGUAAAUAAUAGUACAUUAUGUUCCAGCUUUAAAAACUAAAUCGUUUAUUCUAUGAAUCAUGAUUUGUCUAGAAAGUACCACAGCAAACAUCUCAAAACCAGAAUUAGCAGGACAUUUAGCUAAUAACUUUAUUCUUAACUCGGUACUUUUAAGAUAGCUCUUUUCAGUGAUACUACAUUAGCCAAGAUAAAUGCGGCUUACUAUGGCAGCACUGCUAUUUUCUUCAUUCACUAUAUACAAAUUAUCCAAGUAUUGUAAUUAAAGGCCAACAACAUACAUACAAUUUAAACAAGGCAAAAAUGUAUGAAGGCCUGCUCAACUGUAACACCUUUUGAAACACCUCCCCCCCCCCCCAACCUAUUCUUCUUUUUUUAAAAAAAUACUGACACCAGUUCAACAUGUGAUUUUUUUUCCCCCGAAUGAUUCUAGCCAAAUAAAUAGCGGAUUUUACAAAAUUCAACUGUCUAUUCCAUCAAAUUUCAUGGCAUUUACUAUUUGCUAAGAAAUAGAAUUGCCAUAAUUACCAAUGAAUAGAAAUAUCCAAGUUAGANCUAAAAAAAUACUGACACCAGUUCAACAUGUGAUUUUUUUUUUUCCCCCGAAUGAUUCUAACCGAAUAAAUAGGGGAUUUUACAAAAUUCAACUGUCUAUUCCAUCAAAUUUCAUGGCAUUUACUAUUUGCUAAGAAAUAGAAUUGCCAUAAUUACCAAUGAAUAGAAAUAUCCAAGUUAGAAAAACUUCAAUUUAGCUAACUAGAAAAACACAAAUAAAAUGAUUAUAAAAAAAGUUGGGUAAACUUCAUAUACCACCCCUAUGGUUUCGCACUUUCUCACUUUAGUAUUCUGUGGUUUAAAGUGUAUCAAAUUAGUGCCCUGUGGUUUCAUUUUUAUCUUUUCGUCAGCUUCACCGUUGAUAUUUCGUUAAAUUAUAUACAAAAAACUUCAGAUACUCCACCUAGGUUUAUCGAAUAUUCACUUCAAUACCCAUUAGUUUUAACUAUGUCACUAAUUUAACAAAAAAAAUUAGUGGAAUUGAUAAUAAAAAGAUAAAAAUGAAACCACAGGACACUAAAUUGAUACACUUUAAACCACAGGGUACUAAAGUGAGAAAGUAUGAAACCACAGGGGUGGUUUUUGAAGUUUUCCCAAAAAAAAUUAAAGUUAAGAGCCUAUUUCAUGAUGGUCUAUAGUUAGGGGUUUUCAUUACAUUUUUACCUUUUUACGUUGAAAGAGGACCUACACCAUCAGCCAAAGAGCUAAGAAUAUUAAACCCUCCGGACAAACUAAAAGAUAUAACAUCCUUUAAAGUUGCAUCAUAUUUAAUGGAUAAAAGAAUCAAGAAUGGGGAAUCUCACCACAAAGCCGCCAGCAUAGUUCUUUCUUAGCCACAAGCUCAUGAGGGCAAGUGUAACAGGUAGCUUUGCAGCAGGAUCAAUCUCAAGGGCUUGAUCAUAAUACCGUUUUGCCAAAUGAAGAUCAAGCGGAAGUCCUUGGCCGUGCUCAUGCAUGUACCCAAGGUUAAACAUGGCUUGAGCAUUCAACUGCGAUUGGGCAUGCAUGUAUGCCUCUGCGGCUCGCUCGUAGUCUCUCUCAAUGCCCUGUUAAACAAUAAAUAGCUAUAAAAGACAACAUCUUGUUUUGCCAACUUUUGAAUAACUUCCAAUGAGGGUAGCCUUGAUAUAUCAGCACAUCCCAACCAUAUUUUCCCAGAUAUAUAAUCCUCCAUCCAGCUCAGAAUUAUACUACAGCAGGUUUAGCAAUGAUAAAUAGGGUAAAAUGGAAGAAUUGUUCCAUAUACUUAUUGCAGUUUUGUGACUAAGCUCUUAAACUUUUCAUUUAAAUAUUGUAGUUCUAAAAUCUCAACUACAAUGCAGUUGCGUCCCUAUCCCAUCCAAAAUACCAAAUAUAUCCUAUCAGUCACAUGCUCACGCUCUCCUGGUAAAAUGACCAUUUUAAUGCUGUAUCAUAUCUAUGGAGGCAGAAGGUCAUGUUACAUGAGAAGGGUCAAAUGGCCAUUAUGUAAAAAAGCAUCACCAUGUGGAGAAUUUAACUUAACAGACUUCAGGAAUUGGGUGGCCUGGGAUGCAGCUGUAACAUUUGAAAAAGUACAGGGACUGAAAUGUCUAAUUAAAUUUCAUGGACUAAGUCACGGACUAAGUCACAUAUCAUGAAACGGUUUCGCUUGUGAAUUUACCAAUUAAAUACUUAGUAACAAAGGCAUUACCCGGCCAUAAUAGUAGGCAUCUCCUAUCAACAAAGCGGCAUGUUCAUUACCCUGCUCAGAUGCUUGCCACCAUAAAGAAUGUGCACGGAGAUGUCUUUCAGCAUCCGUGCAAAAGCCAGAUUCUCCCAUGCAAAUGCUCUGUUCCCCAUAUCUGUCGAGGAUCCACGCAGCAUUGCUUUGUGCCACCUCAUAUCCGAGCUCAGCCAUUCUAGAAUAUAAGAGCAGUGCUUUUCCCAUAUCACCCUUCAAGUAGGACUCCAGAGCCCAUCUUGAUAGGGAGCUCCAAGGUCCCCUCUCAGCUACAGCUUUGUAAAGAAGAGUAGCCUGAAGAGGUAAGAAAGAAAGGAAUCAACAAUAUUGAAAAUAAAUCAAAACGGAUGCACAUUUAGACAAAAUCUCUACAGUGAAUUUGCGCAAACACCAAGAAAGUUUCAAAGAAUAUAUUCAGUUCAAUCUUUUCAAAAGAAACAGUUAGCUGUUAAUAAAGUAAAAUAAUAGGAUGAUAAUUAAUUAAAACAACCCAAAAAGUUUGAUAAUCUUUAAGUUUGCUUAUCUUCUUAUCUAGUGAUUUGGUGGCUAGAUAAACAAUCGGUUGUGUCCAUUCUCACAAAGAUGUACUGUUUUAAUCUGCUAAUCGCAAUUAGCUAAGAGAAGUUCUAUGAUUAUACUGCAAGCCUGAAAUACUUUAUGCUUUAUGCCAGGUGGUUUACUAAUUUUUGGAAAGAAAAAAAGCGCCAUUAAUCGAUCAUGCUUUAUGCUGUUAUAUGUUAUCCAAAUAAGCAUGUUUUUCUUUCCAAGUCUCAAAAUUCAAGUGGUGCUCCUUUUAUUGAUUAUAUCUGAUCUGACUGUCGACACUUCUUAUCGUAACAUCAUUUCUUGACCAGAGCAUCAUAAUGUUAUACUUGUCGAAGUCUCAUGCAACUUACUUAGGAAUAUGAAGUCAAUAUGAAAUAAGCAAUAACAUAAAAGACAACAAAGUUAUGUAUAUCAACUUUGAUAUCAAGUGUUGGAGCAACCAAUUAUAAACAUGUUAUUAUAUACCAAACUCAAAAUUGCUUAAAAUGCAAUGGUAAUAGAGGGCAUUAUGUACUCAUCUUGCAGCACCUAAGUGAUAUGCAAAUGUUGCUGCAUGUGUGUGUGCAUGCAACAAUUUUAGAACUGUGAUAUUCAGAUUAAAUCCUAAUAGCGAGUAAGAAGUACUUUGAAAGCCAUUUUGUUGCAAGACUCCACCCUUUAUGGAAAAGAAAAAAGGUAAAAGUACGGGGUAUCUUGUUAAAUUAUACGAAACAACCAUUAUUCUCCAAUAGCUUAAGCUAUUUAUCAGAGAACAAUGCUUUUAUAUUUUUAUAUUCAACAUAUCUCGUCCUAUUGAUUUUGCCGCACUAAAGGUUCUGAGAUACAUCUGGUCUAUUAUAAGGGAAUAGGAAAGGAAUACUAUUCUUCUCAAAUAGUUCAGCCUUCUUGGUGAUAAGUGAACUAAAUGCUUCAUCAAAUACUAAAUUCUAGAGUCAACUGAUUGUCCAAUAGUCUCUUUAUAAUUUCUUAUCAAUUCACAUGUUACUCAUCUUUAACACAUUUCUCAAGUUAUGCGUGCAGUAAAGAAAGAUACUACAAAUGCAAAUAGUGAUAAAUGUACGAUAGAAUGAUUUUUCAACAUUCUCAAAUUAUUCAUCAAGCAAAGAACAUAGAAGGGAUCAAGAUGCAAAUUAACUCUACAAACUUCUUAAGGAUAUCAUCUGACCAAUGGAAUAGUAACAAAAUAAGCAAUAGCACGGACAGAGCAAAAUUAUUCCCACUCGUAUCAUGUGAGAGAGAAGGACAAAGUCUAGUAUUCAUUAUCAGACAACUAAAUUCUUGUUUAAGCACUAGGAGUAUACAAAAAUUACCUCAAUUUGAACAACAAAGUGAAAGAAAAACUUCAUUCGUUGGCCACAAGAAUAAAAGUAUUGCUGAAGUUUGAAUGAUAAAGUACCAUAUAGAGAUUCUUCUUAAGCCCAAUGCCUUUUUGGAACAACUUCGCCACUUGAUAGAGGGCCUUUGGCUGACCAGCAUUAGCUGCAGCAAGAAAAAAGUUGCGGGCGGCUUUCACAUCUCUUUUUACACCAAGACCCUUGAGAUAAAGCACUCCUAAGUUAUAAUGGCCUCCUGGUUCCUUUUGCUCAGCUGCUAUCUCAAAGUAUUCUCUUGCCUUCAAGAAUUAAGGAUUCAAUAAUAAGUUAGCAAGAUAAUUGACCAAAAUUAGUAAUGAUGCAACUUGUGACUAUAAUAACAGUUAACAAGCUAAGAAUAAAAUGAUUGCAUUCAAUAAAUUCAUUCAAUGCUUCAACUUGUGUGGGAUAUGUUGAAUGCAUAGAUUCAUUUCAUGUUACUGAUUUGUAAAGCUUACCAUUGUUAGAAGAGGAAACGAAGCCACAGACAAAGUUUUCAAUAGCAACAGCACAGCAGAUUAUCUUUUUAGAAUGAAGAAAUAGUUGAAACUAGCGUAGUAACCCGCGCGAUGCGGCGGAUAAAUAAUAGAAGAAAAAAUAAAAAAUAUUGAAGAGGACAAAGAAAGGAGUUUGGAAAAUAAAAAUUCAAGUGUGUUUUAUUUUUUGGGUAGGGAAAUAUAUGAAUUGAACUAACCAAUAUAACUAUUGAAAAUUGAUAACUGUCUAGAAUCACCAUUUAAAGAAAAAAUCUACAAAGGUCGUAUGAAGAUGGAGAUGAUAAUGUUGCGAUCAUGAUGACGAUGGCGAUGAAAAUCUCAUAGAAGUUUGCAUGAUUUUGCACCCUUUUGAGCAUGAAAUGGUCAGAACUGCCACAUCAAUUAUAAAAUCAAAACUAACCUCUCCUCUUUUAAUUUUGCAUGUUAGGAAUUGUUUGAGGGAGAAGAAAGAACUUAUAUCGAAGAGGAAAAACUCAGUAACAUACAAAUUAAAAGCACAUUGAUUAUAUGUCAUUGAAUUGAGAUGAGGGGAGGGGAAAAGCCAUGAGUAAAGAUUAAUUCAAAAAAACAGUUAGUGAGGGUGGAGAAAACUUGCCACGUGGCAAAAUUAUUGAGAAUUCAUAUAGGUUAAUAGAUAAUAGAUAACCAAAAUGCAUUAUACAAAUGGAGCAUUAGGCAAUAGCUCUCCAUCAUGCAUCUGAUGAUGACGGCAAUAAAAAAUGGGCCUAUCAGGUAUGAUGCAUUGCAUAGACUACGUACAAUCAAGUUUAUUUCAGGUUUUCUACAUGUUGAAUACUAAACUACAAGCUCCAUCCCCAAACCAAAAGUGCAUUAUUUAGGCCUGACCCAACCAUUUUCCUAUCGCCAAACUCAGGCAGUUGCUACUCCAGAAAUUCUAUUUGAACAACCAUUAAGCAUUCUCACAUGUAUCCAUCCAUUUUUCUUAUUCUUAACAAAUUUCCCAGCCUCUAACGUUAGACAUGAAGCAUCAGCAACCUACGAUCUACCAACUACCCAAUAAAAAAGAAUAACUCAUUAAUGCAAUGUUAGAAAAGAAGGGCAGAGGUCGGAGAUGCCUACGAUGAGCAGAGUUCAACGUGUUCAAGCUUUGAAGGGGAUCAACUUAAGAAACUAUCGCUAAUAAGAAGAAAAGACAUGAGAGAGGGGUAAUAGAAAGACAAUUGAAGAAGUAGUCAUCCUUCAUGACCAAAUUCGCACAAACUUAGUAAUUUCAUUAACAAAUUUGUCGAAACAACCAAAUUAGCCUUUCUCCCUUCGUGUAAAUACUUACAGGAAAUGUUAUCAAGACCUGCUGGGAAAGCAAGUUGAAGACCCUCUAACCUAAACAGAUAGUGUUGCUGACUCGGUAUUUACCAAAGCCCAACAGCUUAAAAUCUAAUAACAAUAAGGUUCAGCCACCUAACCAAGAUUUGAGCAACAUGAUUUAUAUUGAACCAGCCACCUUUGAGAACCAAAACUUUGUUUUUCAGUUUGAGAAUAAAUUAAUUUUCCGAGAAAGCUAGUAUCAUAAAAUGCAAAUAGCUAGACGCAACAACUGUUGAUUAACAAAUUACUUCAACAACUAUCAAAAAUUUCCCCAUUUUAUCUGUACAUAUGAUUUUUUAUGAAAAUAUAUUUUUAUUUUAGAAAAAGGAUUUCUUUCUUGCAUACUACUAAAAAUAUUAUUCUUAUGAUCUGGUUCAACUAAAAGAACCACCAGCUGAACCUCCACUCCCCCCAUCCCCUGAUAUACAUGAACAAAAUAGCCCUUAAGUCAACAGAUAAGCCAGAUGGCAAAAAAGAUUUAUGCACUGUAUAAUGGCGCAUACUGAAUACUGAACAAGAAUGCACUUAUGACACAUAAAAAUUCCUUGCAGUGAUGUUAUGAUAGUCUCCCAACUGACUGUUGAGUUUUGAGCAUAGUUAGUUAAUUCGGAUUAGGCAAAAAUUCGGUACGGAUAUAAUUUGGUUAAAAUUCGUCUUCUAAUUUUCAAAUUCGUUGAAAAAUACAGCUAAAAAACGGAUUCGGUAAUUAUUCGGAUACGUGAUUUAUACAGAUAUUAUACGUUCACCAAUUAAAAAUUCAGAAUUAAAAAUUCGGCUAUUAAAUUAAAUUUUUUUCUCUCAAAAUUUAUACUAUUAGUAUAAAUACUCAUAUUUCUUAAGAAUAUAAGAAUAAAGAGAUACAAAAUUAAGCUAAUUAUGUAAAAAAAAAUAACAAACUAUAUUAUGCUUAUAAAUAAAAUAUUAUAUAAUAAUAUUUCUAUAUAAAAAUAAAAUACUAUAUAUAAUAAAUGAAUAUAUAUUUAUAAAUAAAAUUAUAUAUAUAUAUAGAGUUGAGCUGGAAUGCUAUCUGUAGCAAACUGGUUCCGUUGCAACCCAUUUGAUUUCGAUGAUGGAGUUCUUAAAUUGACGAUCGGCACCGUUGAACAUGAUCUAUACCACUUGAAAUAUCUAGAAACCAAAUUUCAAAUCAUUUCGGCAUCAUUUACCUAAUGAUCAAAGAGUUUCAAAAUUUGUAAUUUUAAUGGUAGAUAUAAGGCGUUUUCUCGUUUAACGGUGUAAAGCUAUCCAAAUCAAUUGAAUUUUGAUGAGAAAAUUCUUUAAACUAUUUAGAAUAAGAUAUAUACUCUCGCUCUUGAUUACAAAAUUUCUAUCAUCAUUUUUUAGAGGAUAUUCAUUUUCAGCCGUUCAUUUUUACGCCCACUUGAUGGACAAGAGAAUAAUAUCGGAAAAGUAUAAAAUUUGAUUUCUUGAUACUUCAAGUGGUAUAGAUGAUGUUCAUCGGUGCCGAUCGUCGAUUUGGAGGCUCCAUCAUCGAAAAGAAAUGGGUGGCAACGGAGCCCAUUUGCUACUGAUAGUAUUCUAGCUCAACUCUAUAUAUAUAAAUAUAAUGAGAGGGAGGUCCACCGUGGACCUCCCUCUCAUGCGGUCCACAAGUGGCCUCGUGGACCGCGCGCGACCGUAGCCUCCCAAACGCCACGCCUUUUUCUUUUCGUCUUUUCCUCUGCAGACUACAACAAAAACUCGAUUUUUUCUCCAAAAAAAAAUUUUACGAACAACCAAACAUGGGAAAUAAAAUUUUCAACCGAAAAUUUUUGAGAAUUUUUUUUCGGAGGGGUUUUACAUAGAUCCAAACACUCGCGAGUUCGGCGACGAGAGCGGCGGAGGAGGAGGACGACGAAGACGACACGGACGAGUUGGCGACGAGAGCGGAGACGACGCUACCCGCAAGUCCGCCACCGCCGUUUUUUUUCGGCGAAUCGUUCGCGAAUCGCGAAUAAUUCGCGGAUAAUUAUUUUUGAUAAAAAAAAAAUGCGUUUUUUUUCAAAUUUUUCGGAAAAAUACAGAUACGGGCGUUUAAUUCGGUUAUUCAAAAAUUCGCGAAUAAUUUGCAAAUUAUACGCGAAUUAACUAACUAUGGUUUUGAGUCAAGUUUGGUUGAUUUCUCAGAUGCCCAGAAUAGCAGUCUUGGGUUUAUGGGUGCCAUUAGAGUUAAAGAAUGGGCUCAAGUCUCAGUCACUUAAAUUACAAUCUAACAAAAGCAGAUACUGAGCCAGUCAUCAGUAGUUGAUACAUGUUUUCCACGGUCUAAACACAAGUAAAAGCCACAAAAAUCUUCAAACGGUGUAGGUUUAGAAUGGCCCUGAAAUUGAAAUAAAUGUGUCCAGCACAUUGAUAAGAUAUGCUAAUUUGAAAAUAAAAUCAACCAUCUAGUACAAGAAACCAGGAUUUCAAUGUCUCUUCUUCAACAAAGUACUAACAAGAAUGAAGACAUCACAAAAUCUAAGAACACGAACCCUAUUUCAUUCUUUUAAAAGUAUCCAAGUCAUCCACAUGCUCUCUUACUCCCCAUUUUCUUUUGUCCCUCCGGUCAUCUAUAUCUGCUUAGAUUAUUGACUCCCAAGAACUUCAGAGUCAUCGCAUCCUUAACUCCCGAAACUCUCAUUGAAGAUGCAUGGUAACCAGUUUGAGGUGCUUAAGUGUUAGGAUGUUCAAUUUGUUCUCCUGAUUAAGGUUACUUCUUCGAUAUUAUUUCGUUUUUCUCACAUUAUAUGAAUUUCAUCCACAAGUUUAACUAUACCCUUUUAUUUUUCUAAUUUGCAUUUUAGAUAAGUUUAUGUUGUCUACUUGAAAAUUUUCAAAAUCUUCUGAUAUCCAUUUAGUUUACUACAAAUGUAUUGUGUUUCUUUUCCUAGUCAUUGCACCUACAAGCAUUCUGUUUUUCCCAAAAGUGUUACUGUUGUUGUAACCAAGGCAUUCUUUCCUAGACUAACUUUUUUGUCUGCACUAAUGCAGAAUGUGGGAAGACCCUUAAAUACUAGUGUCAAAUCUAGUUGUCUAUAAUUGCACUUAUGCAAUAAAGAUCGACAGCAUUAGGGCAAAAAUAUAAGAUUUGAAUACAGGAGUACACAUAGUAAGAGUUCUCUUAAUAAAGGUUUUAAGAUGAGUACCAAGCUACCGGAUGCAAUUGAAUUCCUCUAGGUGACCUUCUCAAUGGUUUGUUUAAGGGUAUAGCACACUACAUACACAAAGAACUUCCUUAUGCUCACAGCAACUGACAUAACUCAUAAUCCUCAACCUAUGCAGUUUUCAUGGACUCACACUGACAUGAGAAAUUAACAAGCAAAUUCGUCAAAAGAAGAAAAUAUAAACUUGAAAGAACUUACUUUUGUCAAGUUCUUUUUCUCCACUCCAUAUCCUUUCACGUAAAGGUAUCCCAAUCCAUUGUAAGCCGAAUAAUACUGCUGCUUGGCCGCCCUAGAGAGCCACUCGAAAGCCUUUGUGUAGUUCCUUUCCACUCCAGCACCUCUCGCAUAAAUCUCCCCAAGAAAUUCCAUGGAUCUCGUAUCCCCCUUCUCCACAGCCUUCGAGAACCAAUGAAGCGCCUUAGUGUGGUUGCGCCUCAACCCCCUCAGCCCAUAGUAGUAUAACAACCCGAUUUUAAACAUUGCCGCAGAAUUUCCUCUCUGUGCCUGGUACUCUGUGAUCUGGAAGUCCUCGUCUUCCUCGCCCCGCGACUUCCUCAGAGCAUCCUUGUUCUCCUCAGUGCCGCUGUGGAGCCGCACGGGCUCGAUCACCGGCGGCUCCUUUGAUAUGAGGAAGCUCAUCAUUGCCGUCUCCGCCAACUCGGCAUAGAGCACAACCGCCUUCUCAUACAUCUGCAAUGCGAAAGAUCGAUUUAGGGUUUCAGAUGAUUAGGAAUGGGGUGUUCAGAUGAUUAGGAUCUUCGACGAUCGGUGUCUCAAAAUCGAAAUCUAAAUGGUAGGUGAGAUUUAGAACAUCUAAAUAAAAGCCUACUCAUAUCCAAAAUUUAUGAUUUUUAAUACGUUGGCAGUUUGGACGUGGAAGAACGCAUGUAAGAAUUUAAAUUUAGAUUUUGACGUCUCAAUAAUGGGAGUUUAGUGGUGCGGUGUAUGUGAGGCAAUGAUUUCUCGGAUUCUAGGGUUUGGGAAACCGUACGGCCUGGCGGAAGUAGGUGUAGGCUAGGGCCAUCUUGGACUGGGGGUUGCCGCCCUCGGCGGCGAAGCGGUGGUGGAGGAAGGCCCUGGGGCGGCUGAGGGGGCGGAGGACGCCGUAGCCGCGGAGGAAGGCGAGGGCGGAGUGGGCGUGGGGGAGCCCGGCGGCGGCGGCGACCUCGAUCUGGGAGGCGGCGGCGUCCACGGCGGCGGGGUCGGCGGCGGAGGCGGCGGCGAGCAUGGCGUUGAUGCCGGAGACGAAGAGGGCCUCGCGGGGGUCGGGAUCGGAGCCAUCGGAGGGGGAGGAGGAGGAGGAGUUGAGGUGGGAGUUGGAGAAGGAGGGAUCGAGGACGGAGAGCCAUGAGCCGGGGUCGAGGCGGAGGUCGUCGGAGGCGGGGGAGGAGGAGGAGGAGGAGGAGGAGAACUCGUCCCAAUCGGGGUCGCCAUCGUCGUGGUCCUCGGAGGAGGAGGAGGAGGGAUCGGAGGAGGGGAGAGAGUCGGAGGAGGGGGUUUCCUUGAGGUCGUCGCCGGUGAUGACGAUGACGAAGGGGCGCACGGGGGAGGAGAGGGGGAGGAGGGCGCAGAUAAGGAGGAGAGGGAGGAGGGGGAGAGCUCUCCGGCGACGCAUCCUGGACAUGGUGGCGGAGAGGGAGAGGGAGAGGGCAGAGAGGGGGAGGGGAGAGAUUUGAUAUGCCAGGGGAUGGAUUAAAUUUAAGGAGGAGGACGGGUUUGGACACACGUCGAACGCGAAAUCUGAUUGGUCAAAAGGUUCUUAUUAGGCCGCUGAGUUAAUAUCUCAAGUUGCACAGAUCAGCUGACACGUGGCAUCAUUUUCUUUCUAAUUAAGAAAAAACUAGUGUAGUCGGGAAGCGUUGCAUUGCAGUGCGUUAAUUAUGUAGAAAUAAAUAAAUUAAUUAAUUAAUAUAAAAAAAUUAAAUAUACUAGAAGAAGAAGCUGAAGAAUAUAAAAAUAAGGGCCGGUUUGUUGGAUAUAGUUACAGAAACAGUAUAGCUGAAAAUAAAUGCAGUUAUAAAUACUGCAGUUAUAACUACACCUAGCCUAUUUGGUUUUAUACUGUUACAACUACUGCAGUUACAUUUCUUCUGUUUGGUCGGCUGUAGUUACAUUUUUUUCUGUUUGGUAGGCUGCAAUUGAGAUUUAUAUUUAUAAAUACUGUCACCUUAGAUAGAAAGUUAAGAUUACCUCUUCUUAAGAUAACAUAUCUAUGAGAUUUUAUAAUUAUUAAUUAAGAUAUAUAUAUAUAUAUAUAUAGGGUCCGGUACGUUACUAUUAUGACUACUAUCCGCCCUCGUAACUCUAAGUUAUUUAGAAUGAUAGAGCUUCCGAAUCGACGCAUCCACACGCUUAAACGUUUAUUUAACAUUUAAACUUCAGAGAAAUCAAAUUUAUAAUUUUCGACAUCAUUUAGCCUUUGAGCGAUCAAGCGUAUCACAAUUUGAAUUUUUAACGACCGUAUGAAAUACUUGCUAGUUUAACUGUUGCUAAGAAUCGAAAUUUGUUGAUUCUUGAUAGAAAAUUUAUUCAUACAUAGAUAAAAGAUCAAUAACUACGAUCUUGAUUGAAGGAUCGGACCUCAUCUUUUUUAGGACGCGUUCGAUUUUGGACGUUUUUUAUAUGCCCACUGAGGACUUUAUUAUGAUUUCAAAUUUAGAAUUUUUUUCUAGUAAUUUCAAAUACUCUGAUAUAAUUUAACGGUGCAGUGGAUCGUGUUCGGGGGGAAGCUCCAUCAUUGAAAACACUUAUGGAGUACGAGGGCUCAAAUCUAUAAUAGUAAUAGUAUAGUACCAUAGCAAUAUAUAUAUAUAUAUAUAUAUAUAUAGAGAGGGAGACAGAGAGAGAGAGACGCAGGAGAUGGAGAGAGAGAGAGCUAUGGUACUAUACUAUCUAUAGUACGAGCUCCGGUACUUAGUGUUGGUUUCGAUCUUAGGGACAUUCAACGAUCAAUACGAUCCACACCGUUAAACUGAUCUAGGGUAUUUUAAAGUUUCUAGAAAUAAAACUUUAUUUUCCUCGACAUAGUUUACAUUUUGAUCAAACUAUUUUUCAAAAUGUCAAUUUUCAAUGGUUUAUGGAUGAGUUUGCGAGUUUAAACGGUGUAAGAAGAAUCUAAAUUUCUCAAAUUUUGAUAGAAAAUACUUUUAAACUAUAUAAAUUAAGGCUUAACAUUACUUGAUCAUUGAAUUUAAGAAGUCUAUGCUUCAAAUUUUUAAAGAUUAUUCAAUUUCACCGUCCAUUUCUUGAUAUCAAUUAUUUACUAAGUAAACGAUAUCGAAAAAAACUAAAAUUUUAUUCUAAGAAAUUCAUAUACCCUAGAUUAUAUUUAACCGAGUGUUGGAUCCGGUUGAUCUGAACGCCCUAAGAUCGAAAACAAACACUCAUAGUACCGGAGCUCGGUACUAUAGAUAGUUUAGCUAGGCCUAAUUCUAUAUAUAUUAUAUAUAUAUAUAGAGUUGAACUGGCGCUUACUAUAGUAGCAAAAUCUCAUUUUUCUACCAGUUUUUUUUAGCCUUUGGAUCAACUCUUUUUAUUAUUUCUAAACCAUGAUUAAAUAUAAAACCAGUGGGGACACUCAACCCUGGGGCCGACCAACUCAACUCUAACGACUAAGUAUCACUCCAUGACCUACAUUUUUCAUCCAAGGGUUAAAACUUGAUAGCAAAAAAGAAGUGUCUUUACUAUUAAUAGUUAUUCCCAGCCUAAUUCUAAUAUAUAUUAUAUAUAAGUAUUAUAUGAUAUAUAUAUAUAUAUAUAUAAUAUAUACUAUAUAAUUAUACUACGUAUACUAUCAAUAAUACCCAAACCCUUGGUACUAUUUGAAUUUAUCGGCUGUUGAUGAAAAGGAUGUCGCGUUCUCGGAUGAGAGUGUCCCGUGUUACAAUUGAUACUAUGUCCCUAGGGUUGAGUCAAGUGGUUGGUUUAAUAGUGAUAAUCUAGACGGGUGAAAUGAUCAAAAGGCGUAGAUCUACGGUAGAAACCAUUUAGUACCAAGGGCUUGGUACUAUCGAUAGUAUAGUAGCCGGAUAUAUAUAUAUAUAUAUAUAUAUAUAUAUAUAUAAUAUAUAUAUAUUAUAUAUAUAUAUAUAAUUAUAAUAUUAUAUAUAUAUAUAUAUAUAUAAUUUAUAUAUAAUAAAAUUAUAUAUGAAGAGUCCAGCUACUAUACUCUUAUGAGUAUAGUUCUCUUUGUACUCAUACGUUUUUUUGCUGUUAGAUCUACUUCUUUGAUCAUUUCCACCCGUUAGAUCAUACUAUUCAACCAACACCCACUCAACGCUAGGGGACCACUAUUAACCUAACCAGAUACCACUAUCAUCCUAACCGCACAUAUCUUCAUCUAAUGGUCGAAAAUUUAUGAGUACAAAUUAAGGGGGUAAUACUCAUAAGAGUAUAGUAGCCCUAGCCAUAUAUGAAUUAAAUAAAUUUUAAAUACAAACAUAUUAUAAAUUGGGUCAUAACAAAAAUUUAAAUAUUAUUGAACUAUAAAACUAAAUGUAAAUUAAUCCAUAAUAGAGCUAACAAAUAAAAAUAAAGCAUGUAUGAUAAAAUAACUAAAUCAAUUACCAGCAUCACAUGACUAGAGAGAGAGAAUGAUGACUAUUUCUCUCUCUGUGAAAAAGUGUCACACCCCGGGGCCGAUUUUAAAAACCUUUUAAAAACAGAGUUGCGAAAAACGUGCCANNNNNNNNNNNNNNNNNNNNNNNNNNNNNNNNNNNNNNNNNNNNNNNNNNNNNNNNNNNNNNNNNNNNNNNNNNNNNNNNNNNNNNNNNNNNNNNNNNNNAAAAGAGAGAUGAGCGCGGCUUCAAUGCCGGGCUUUGUGUAGCACCUGCCCGCCGCCGAAGUCUGUGGUUGUUUUUUGGUGCCGGCCUCUCGCGCCGGCGGCGCGAGCACUGCCCUGCGCCUGGCCGCGCAACUCGCGCGCUCACCGCGACGGGUCGCGCCUGCGGAAGCCAUCCGGCCGAGCCUCAGCCUGAGCUCCUCCCUUCUACCCGUAUGCUAGGGCACUCAUUGCCCGUCGCUGCCGUGCGUGGCCUGCGCGAUCCCUGUCAGCCGGGCCAGCCCACUGCCCGCCCUCUCUCUGUCGCACGACCUUCCGACUGACGCGGCGCGCUCCUGCUUUCCGCCGCGCCGGCCGUACCGUAAGCUCCCGCAGUGGCCGGUAAGCUUGUUUUCAGCUCUUUCUCUGCGCAGUGUUCCCGUUACUACCACUUUCCGGCGACGCUGAGCUUUUCCGAUGCCCCCGAGGUGAGCGACGGUGAUCGCAGUCAGUCGCUAUUCACACGUGCUUCACCACUAGUCACCGAUCCCUGGUUAGUGAGAUUAUCAUGCUUCCUAACUGUGUCGCUGUUUCACUUAAUUCGCGUCGGCCGUGUAUUGUGUAUUGGCCGCAUAGUGGCCGGCAGGUGCUCCCGACAAGAUGAGCACAGGCCUCCGGACGCGAACCAGUACGGAGUGCUAUGCCUUGAUUGGACUCUGCUUUGCGUGUACGACCAUAAUAGAGCCAUGAAAUUACAAAAAAAUAAUGAUUUCAUGGUGUCGAUAGGGCUUUAUGCCGUUUGCUUCCGUCGUAGCUGCUGUUGGCAGUGGAGUUAGGGUGAGGAAACCUCUGGACUGAUCGCCGAAUGGCCACCAAGCCUUUGCAAGUGUCAGAAUGUAGACUUUCGCGCGUUUCUCGCGAAAUCCGUGCGCGACAACAUGCGGGAUUCGGUGGAAUUCCUAUCCGACAGUGUUUCGUGAGAAUGGUGUAAGCGCUGAUCCUUGUCGCUGUCAUUGGUGCCAUCAUUUUGAGGUCUACAGUGGGUGACGAGGUAGGCUUCCGGUGUCGAAAUAGACACUUUUCGCGAACCCGGAUUCGACAAUUAUCCCGGGAUUAAUUGCGUAGGGGUUGUACCUUGUGUUUGUCUGCCAAAAAAUCCAAAUGGAAGGUUUUUGGGCAGCAAGUGACCGUGACACCAGUCGGUGAGUUUCGGGCACACUUAGUGUCCCGGACGGCGUCCCGGUUGGUUUCGGGACUUCACGGCCGAGUUAACGGUAUAUAGGGUAUUGCGAAACCCGAUACGGGUUCUGUGUGGGUUUGUGAGAACAAGUGUACUUCAGGUGAGUGGGCUUUGGGUUACUGGACACCGGAUCUUCGUAGGUCCGAUCGACUGUGCUACGCAGUGUCCGACGCGACAGUGACAGGUGGGUACUUCGAAUCCGAAUUCGGUAGAGUGGUGCCAACUAGCUCGGUGAUUAUGCUUCUACUGCCCUGUUCUUCUGUGCAUUCGUAUUACAUAUGAGCUGCAUCUCACCGUUGUUCUAUUAUACUCUACUGCAUAUGUUUAUCGAGUAUCAUGUGUAGGAUAGAGAGUUAUCCAUAUGUGAUAUCGUGACCUUGACUUGGUCGUUCUCGAUUUGUUCCGGGACUCUAAUUGGCGGUUCUCGUACUCGUUCGGUUGACACUGUUUGUCUGUUCGUUGCAUUAUUAACGGUUUGUCGUUUCUUGACUUCUGUGUCAUGACCUUAGAGGUCGGUGUAGCCUGAGUAGAUAUUUCGCUUGGCUCGUAUUUCUGGACUAUAUCGAUUACAACUCUGUGAACCAUCGUCGGUUUUGCGUCGACUUCUAUUGACACGGCAAGUGACUAAUAUUAUCCGUAUUACUUGCUGGUUUCCAAUGUUAGUAAUCCUGUAUAGGAGAGUAUAAAAAGAUGGCAUUCAUAUAUACAUACUUCGACAUGGUGGUCGGUCUGUAGCCGUUUGCAUCGUGACUAGCUGUUCUGGAUCGUCUUACUUCCGUUAAUAUUGUACCUCUCUGGGUUCGUUCACGUUGUUAUCUUUGAUGACCUAUCACGUCGUUAGCCCCGAGGCAGUGAUUGUCGACUUGAUUGCCGACGGUCUGCUAUAUGACAUAUCCGCAUGAUCGCCCACAGCUUCGAGUGCAUUCACUGACACCAGCGUUGAGCCCGCGAGGAGGGUGUUUCUUUCCGGAAAAGUGGUCGUCACAUCCAGAACCCGUUGAGCCCAGCGGCUGUCUCAUUGUGCUAGGGUUACAUCGCCAAGUUGACAGAUAGUGGCUUUUGGCCUGAGGUCCUAAGACGCGCACGGCGGAUAGAUUUGGUAAUUUUGGACUUCUCGUCCGAUUGACACAUAUACUAUAGUAGCGUUGUUGGCAUGUGACUUUCUAUCUUUCUUUAACAUUGUCUUGCUAACUAUAGUUUUGAUAUCCAUUGAUACUUGCAGUUGUUACAUACAGUAGCGGUAGAUGUCUUCAACAUAUAUAUCUCAUUCGUGUCAUCUCGUAUGCUACUGUAUUUCACACCCAUACUGUUUGUUUAUCUCUUUCCUGAUCCGGUGAAUACCUCCUCUCGCCUUCUUCGGCUGCGUCACCCCACUGGAGGGAGACAUGUUUACAUAUGUUCUCACCUCCCCCACCAUUUUUCAGUGAUCGCGGACCUAAGAGAGUUAGUGGACGAGACGUGAGUAGUGUGUAAGCGGUCGAAUAGACUUCCGACCCAGGUUAUUACGAUUUAGUUAUUAUCCCUGCGUAUUUUCGUUGAUAGUAUUAUUUAGGUUGUUAUAUGUCAUAUUUGUGUAUUACAUUGGAAAGUGAUUUCUGAUUGUACAAAUAAAAGGUUUUUCUACCCUCGGGUAGCGGUUUUAAAAGAAUAAAGGUUCCUGAUCCGGAAACAGGUUUUAGCUUUCAAAGGUUUGUGAUUUCUGUAAACCUCGAAUGUAAAACCUUGUGAUGUAAUGGGAAUGGAUAAUGUAUAGCUAUCUGUUAUAUUUCAUUUAUUGUGUUGUAUACUGUUUACUUUUGUACUCGGUGACGUCCGUCAAUGUACAGGGAGGACACUGUCCGUGGAACCAGGCGAAUUCCCCUGUAUGUGGGCUGAUCUGGCAUACUCGGGGUCAGUUUCAAAAAAAAAAAAAAAAAAAUCAACAACCUUUCGCUGUAGUUUCAACAAAAAGGGACCCUCGGCGUGACAGAUAAAAUUGGUUCAGCAGAAAAGGUUACAACCACAACACCAUUCACAAGUUGUUUUUGAAAAGUAAAUAAACUGAACCAAUUGGUAGUUGACCUAUAGAAGACCUGCGGUAAAAUAUAGGCACGUGAUGCGGGAUUUGGGCUUGUUCCAAGUUGCAUCGAGUUUGUAAACUCGAAAAUGUAUGGCCCAGUAUUAUCGUCCGCACAACGGUGUCUAAGUUCGGUGUAUGGCGGUGUACAUGUUUUUCGGACAUCGAGUGUGGGCGACGUCCCCCAGGUUACCAUUCUCGUCAUGUGGGCCUGUGAAAGCCAGUGACUCUGGGGCCUAGGCAGGGCCGACUGCGCUGACGCCCAGUGCCACUCUCUCUACUUAAGAUCACGAGAGCUUUGCGAGUGUCUCUACGAGAGACGGUGCUUAGACCAGAUACGGUCGCAGUUCUUGACUUCUUGGGCUAGCUAUGGUGUAGCCAGGGUUUGGGUAGCGUCGUUUAGGCGACUGCAUGUGUGUUGUUCCUUGCAGAUCUUUGGUAAGGCUGUGAUGUCACCCUCUUUUACUUGAUUGUUGAUGAAAAUCACAGUUCAGAAUCUUUGACCUUGACUCGUUUCAUUUCUCCACCAUACUAAGUCCGAUUGAACAGUUUGGUGUCAAUGUUUUUGUUAGGGCAUACAUCGUAUGCGUUAUUCUAACACCCCAAAUGGUGUGUUGUGGAUAUAGUUGGUAGUUGUCUAGAUCGAAAUGGUUCAGGUCCGUUCUAAAUUUCGAACGUCGACUUUAAAUCGACUGUUUCGAUAGUAAUGGUUGUUAAGCUUCUGGUUCACAGUAGAGAGGUAUCAAUGACUUGAUACUAUUAUCGGCGUGUAACUUCCAAACUGUUGUGUAGUGGACUUCGGAUAUUCGCUUUUCUUGUGAUAAGUAUAUGCUGCAGACAAUAUACGUCGAAAAGAACGAAAUACCAUCUCCUCCAUUUGGGAACUUAUGAUUGGCUCGGUGUUUCUAGAACUGUUUUGUUGAAAUUAGAGAGAUAUCUGUGAGGAUGUUGGGUAUCGUCACCUUUUGACUCACCUAGUGGCGCCUUGGAUCUCUUGGCAGUUUGCGCAAGCUGAUCUUAUCAUCACUGCAGGUGGUUCCACCUUGGUUCGAGUCGGUGUCAUAGCUUUUAGUUGUAGCUCAUUUAGCUAAAGGUGUGGUAGUAGUUCGGUCUUUGUCUUGGAGUUCAGAAUUUUGUUUAGUGACUUGAGCCUAGUGUGGUAUUCGAUUCGUCACCGUGUGAUAUGUGUAGAUGUUAUUCAGCCUAUUUGCGAUCUUUUGAUGUAUGCUUCUCCGUUUAAAUUGGUGAAAACGGUGCCAGGGUCCAAUGUAACAGUAUCUGUGUUUUCUCGAAAUACCGCGAUCGCUGGGUCCUUUAGACGGCAGCGACAGGUUCUCGUAGAGACAGGUUUUUAGCAUCACCUUGAUGGUUGUAUCCGUUUACUGCGAUUGGCAACCCUGUGCACCAAGUUUUGGACUGCAUCACGGAGUUUAUUGGUUUUAGCGAACCAGUUUAUUAUAUUGACAAGCGGUUUUGUCAAGCUCAAUUAUUGCUCAGGCUCGACCUUUUCGGUCAGGUGAAACGGUGAGCUUGUGGACCUAGAACGUCGAAUAUCAAAGGCGGCUUCCCGUGGAUGUUGGACCUUGACUUCCGCGCAUCGUUGCGUGAUCGGUAGUGGAGACGUAGUCUGAGGCUGUUUCUACCGACUCGAGUUUUAGAGAGAAUACAGUUUCAAUCUUCGCUCGUGUGACAAGGAUUAUUGUUGCUAGUCGAAAAUAUUUUUGCUCCGAUCUAGGUAAUCAGACUCCAGUUGGGUUUGGCUCGUCGAUUCUUUCUCGUAACUAGUGACGAUGGUCCGAUAGGUCGAGUCGGUUGAGGCUUUUCGGACCAAGGUUACAGGAUGGUGUUGAUCCCGGUGUGUUAUGGUCCGCAGACUUCGGUUUGGUACGUUUCCCUCGUCUUGUUCUUGUGGAACCGCAGUCCUAUUCUCCCUUUUUCAGAGGUUGAUCUGUCCAAUUCUAGAUUUGUGACUGACCAGUAUCCAAAGGUGUUACCGUGUUGGUGGGGCAAUGUCAGAGUUCGAUUACGGUGGGUACGUGGUCAAGUUUCGAGGACGAAACUUCUUUUAAGGGGGGGAUGAUGUAAGGACUGAGAUUUUUGACAGUGCAACUUAACUCUCUGUUGACGAUGUUUAUGUGUGUAGUGUAAUUACAUAAGCACUCGUCAAGUUUCAGGAGAAAAUGAGCUAAAACGGAGAAGUUACGCGAUUAUUAGUUUUCACUUAAGUGAAUAGUAACUCCGAUUUUUCGGUGAAGCCACGGAGUAGAGUUGGCUUCUGGUGCGUAUCGAACUCCGUUCGUAUCAGUCCAAUAGCUCGUUUCGACCGGUUCAGCUGUUCUGGAACUAAUGGCACUGACGGAUUUUGAGUUUGACGCACGGAUUUCGAGAAAAUCCAAAAAUACAUGUUUUAUAUGUAUUUUUGUGUGUUCCCUUCGAUUGGAACGAAAGGUUGGAUUUUGUCGUGAAUUCGUGGUCGAUCGAGACGAAACGAAAUCGUAGCUUUGUUGUCUCCGUCGUGCUGAUCGCACCGGUGCAAUCCGUUCGCAAAUCUGACGGACGGAUCUGCGGAAAUCGCGCGUUGUUUGAGGAGAGGUCGUUGUGGGGAAAACGGUAUUUUUGCAAAAGUCGUAAUAUUUUAUGUACCGUUUCGCUUGAGAUCGCUCUUGGAGGGGUAUUAGUGUGUAUUACUCGCGCUGUGAAGGACUGGGUUUGGAAUUAUCCAUCCUUGAAGGGUUUUCUUGCAAUGUUUCACCUUGUAUAUAGGAUUUUUCUAGGGUUUGCUCAUGGCAAACCCUAACCCUAGCCUUGCCGCAACCCCCAGCCACCCUCACCUCGCUCCCCUGCCCUAGCCAUGCGCCCUGACCGCCGCCUACUGAACCCCCGGCCGGCCAGCCACCGCCGCAGCCACCCUUCUUCCUCCCUCACCAUCUUUCUCUCCAUCUCUCUCUCUUUUCUUCUCGGGUUAGAGCCCAGGCCGAGGCUGCAGUGGCCUCCCUGCACCAUGCCGGUGUCGCCCGACCUCAUCGAAGCGUCCCCGUCGACCGCCGGCCGCCGCUCUCUCUUUCUGCGGCCGCCUUGACCAAGUGCGGGCCGAGCCGGAGCUAGCUCCGCCUCCGUGCGCCGCCGCCGCUGUGGACCACCCUGGCCGACUUCCCGGAGCCCCGGCGUACCUCCCCGCCGACCGCUGCCGCCCCGGAGGCGCCGCCUCGCCGCGCUGAAGCCGCCUCGGCCAGCCGCGGCCGCCCCAGACUUGCGCGGGCCGAGGUGAGCUCGCGGCUUCUUCCUCGCGCUGCCACCACCCGGAGCCAUCCGUGCCGCCUCUCUCCGGCCUCUGGAAACCCUCCGCCGCCGCACCGAGGUGCCCCGAUCGCCGCCGAGGCCGGCGCUGAAACCCGAGCCCGAGCGCGGCUCAUGCGGGCUUGUGUAGCACCGCCGCCGCCACCGCCGCCUCUCGCCGCCGGACGGCGCGAGCACUGGCCCUCCCUGGCCUGCCGCACUCGCCCUCUACCGGCGCGGUCGCCGCCGAAGCCUCCGCCGGCCGAGCUCGGGGCCGAGCUCCCCUUCACCCGUACGGCUAGGGCAUCAUUGCCCGUCGCUGCCGCCGCCUCCUGUCGCCGCCCAGCACACGCCCCGGCCCCUCCCUGUCGUCAGCACCUUCCUGACGCCGGCGCGCCUGCUUUCCGGCCGCCGCCGGCCGUACCGUAGCUCCCCAGUGGCCGGUAAGCUUGUUUUCAGCCUUUCUGCGCAGUGUUCCCUGUUCUACUCACUGUUCCGGCGACCUGAGGCUUUUCCGAUGCCUCCGGAGGUGAGCACGGUGAUCGUCAGUCAGUCCUGAUCACAGUGCUCACCUCACUUAGGGUCAACGAGCCCCUGGUUAGCGAGAUAAGCAUGCUUUUCCUACUGUGCGCGCUGUUUCACUAAUUUUGCGUCGCCCGUGCGCGUGCCAUAGUGGCCGGCAGUGCUCCGAAAGGUGAGCACGGCCUCCGGCACGCCGAGACCAGUCAGCGGGAGUCUUGCCUUGGAUGUUUGACCUCUGCUUUGCGUGUACGAUCCAUAAAAGCCAUGAAAUCACAUAAAAUAAUGUGAUUUCAUGUGUCGAUAGGGGCUUUUAUGCCGUUUGCUUCGUCGUAGCUGCUGUUGGCAGCGAGUUAGGGCUGAGGAUAACCUCUGGACUGAUCGUCCAAGGCCCCAAGCCUUUGCAAGUGUCAGAAUGAGACUUUCGGCGCGUUUCUCGGCGAAAUCCGCCGACGGAACGCGGGAUCGGUUCGAAUUCCUUCCGACAGUGUUUCGUGAGGAAUUGUGUAGUCGCUGAGCCUUGUCGGCUGGUCACUCGCAUCAUUUUGAGGGUUCUGAAAUGAUGGGUGAGCGACGGUAGGUUCCGGUGUCGAAAUAGACACUUCCGGGAACCCGGAUUCGUACGAUUAUCCGGCGAUGAUCGUAUGGUUGUGUCACCUCGUGUCCGCUGCCAAGGCAUCCAAAUCGGAGUGUUUUGGGGCAGCGGGUGACUCGUGGCACGAGUCGGUGAGUUCGGGACACUUAGUGGGUCCCGACGGCGUCCCGGUGUGGUUUUCGGGACUUCCGGUGAGUUACGAUGAUCGGUUUUGGGAAACCGAUACGGGGUUCUGUGUGGGGUUUGUGAGACAGUGUACUUCAGGUGAGUGGGUUGGUUACUGACCCGUGGGAUCUUCGUAGGUCCGGUUGACUUGUGCGUACCCAGUGUUCCGACGCGACAGUGACAGGUGGGUACUUCGAUCCGAAGUCGGUACAGUGGUGCACGCUCGGUGAUAUUCUUCUAUCCCUGUUCUUCUGUGCUAUUUUCGUAUUAUAUAUUGAGCUUGCAUCCCCGUUGUUUCUAUUAUGCUCUACUCAUAUGUUCUAUGCUUAGUAUCAUGUGUAGGAGUAGAGUAGUUUAUCCAUAUGUGAUAUCGGUGACCUGAUUGGUCGGUUCUCGUACUUUGUUCCGGUGACCUAAUUGGUCGGUUCUCGUACUUCGUUUCGGUGACCUAGUUGAUCGGUGCUUUUAUCUUAUAUCUGUUGACCUGGUUGGUCGGUCGUUGCAUUAUGUAUUGGGUUGGUCUGUUUCUUGACUUCUGUUGUUCGAUGACCUUUGAGGUCGGUGUACCCUGAGGGGUAGGAUUGUCGGCUGGUGCUGACGGUAGUUCUGGACUAUAUCGAAUACACUCCUGUGACCUAUCGGUCGGUUCUUGCGUUCGUACUUUUAGUUGACAUCGAGCAGUAUCUACAUAUUAUCUUUAUUUACUCUGCCUGGUUGUUCUAUGUGUAGUAUCCUGUAUAGGGGUAGAGUAGAUGGCAUUCGUAUAUACUAUACUUGUGACCUGGUUGGUCGGUUCUCCUGUUUGCAUCGGUGACCUGUUUGGUCGUUCGUUACUUUCCGUAUAUUGACCUCUCUUGGUCGGUUCACGUUGUUACUUGAUGACCUACACGGUCGGUUAGCCCCGAGGGGCAGUGAUUGUCGGCUGAUUGCCGACGGUUGGCUAUUGAUCAUAUCCGCAUUGAUCGCCACAGCUCGAGUGCAUUUCACGUACACCAGCGGGUUGAUCCCCCGCAGGAGGGUGUUCUUUUCCGGAAAAGUGGUCGUACAUCCGACCCGUGAGCCCAGCGGUGUUCUCUUUGUGCUAGGGUUACAUGCCAGGUGUGAGCAGAUAGUGGCUUUUGCCUGAGGUCCUUAGACCGACACGGCGGUUUAGAUUGGGUACUUUUGGGACUUCUCGUCCGGUUGACACAUAUAGCUAUAGUAGCGGUUGUUGCAUGUGUACUUCUAGUUCUUUCUUUACAGUUGUCUUGCUACUAUAGUUUUGAUAUCCUUGUAUACUUGCAGUUGUACAUUACAGUAGCGGUAGUUGUGCUUUCAUACAUAUAUAUCUCAUUCGUUCAUUUCGUUGCUACUGUAUUUCACUUACCCAUACUGUUGUUUAUCUCUUCCUGAUCCGGUGAGUACUCCUCGCCUUCUUCGGCUUGCGGUACCCACUGGGAGGGGAGACAUGUUUACAUGUUCUCACCUCCCCCACCAUUUUUCAGGUAUCGCGGACGAUGAGUAGUGGGACGAGACGUGAGGUACGUGUGUAGCGGUCGAUAGAGCUUCCGACCCAGGUUAUUACGAUUUAGUUAUUAUCCUCGGUAUUUCUGUUGAUAUAUAGUUUAGUUGGUUUAUAUGGUUCAGUAUUUUUAUUACAUUGGAAAAUGUGGAUUUCUGGAUUUUGUAAAAUAAAAGGUUUUC
RNAcentral lists this long non-coding RNA (41862 nucleotides) under Ananas comosus (pineapple). RNAcentral describes it as "long non-coding RNA (ACOM_LNC000624)". Lineage: Eukaryota; Viridiplantae; Streptophyta; Magnoliopsida; Poales; Bromeliaceae. The record is from RNAcentral.